RNAcentral lists this ribosomal RNA (240 nucleotides) under uncultured bacterium. RNAcentral's name for it is "partial 16S ribosomal RNA". It matches the Rfam family "Bacterial small subunit ribosomal RNA", at positions 96 to 334 of the family's 1533-position model. The record is from RNAcentral.
UGGCGAACGGGUGAGUAACGCGUGAGGAACCUGCCUCAAAGAGGGGGACAACAGUUGGAAACGACUGCUAAUACCGCAUAAGCCCACGACCCGGCAUCGGGAAGAGGGAAAAGGAGCAAUCCGCUUUGAGAUGGCCUCGCGUCCGAUUAGCUAGUUGGUGAGGUAACGGCCCACCAAGCCGACGAUCAGUAGCCGACCUGAGAGGGUGACCGGCCACAUUGGGACUGAGACACGGCCCAG